Manihot esculenta (cassava) is the source of this 2263-nucleotide long non-coding RNA. RefSeq lists it as uncharacterized. The transcript is spliced from 5 exons. The record is from RefSeq and is a predicted model, not a curated record. NCBI's taxonomy places the organism in Eukaryota, Viridiplantae, Streptophyta, Magnoliopsida, Malpighiales, Euphorbiaceae.
GCUCAGGUUCAGAAAGUCUGAAUAUGAUUGGAAACUGAAUCCAACUUUUGUGGAGGGCCCAUUUCAGCUUUCAUUAUCAAGCGUAAUUGCAUUUAUAAUUGAUCCUAUAACUCCAGGUUUGUACGCAUGAGCUCUGCUGGAGUGACCAACCAGAUCGUCUUGGCCUUGAUCUCAGUAAAGAAUCUCCAGCUGUACACUUGACAAGGAAUUGGGUUUUAUCCUAACUUUCAAGUUGAAGGUUUGUUAUUAUCUAUGUAUAAACUGUUUAUGUCAAUCUGUAAAUUCUGUUGCUUCACUGAACUCAGGUAGUUUAAUAAUUUAUUUGGAACUCGUAGCUGCCUGGGAAGUGCUGAGACUUCUUAAUCUGAUUUGUCCAUUGACCACAUAUUUAUUUUUCGUGGUUCAUAAGGUCAACCUUAUUAUCCAGUUGGCAGAGCUCUAAGGAGAAGAGCAGAAGACUGAAGGCUAUGGAAAAGAUGGAAAGAAGGUUGUAAAUAUUUGAUAUGUUAGCUUGUGAGGAUAAGACUAUUAGGAAUAUGAGCUCUUAAGUUUACUGACGCUCCAUAAAAUAUGGACAAAGAAGUCAAAUUAAUGAGAGAGGAAUAUGCACAUGCAGAAUGCACACUCACAUGCGAUCAAGAUCUAGCUGAUUACUUUCUUCCCACAAUAUUUGGUUGAUGAAUUUGUUUGGUUUCUUCUUGGAUAAUAGCAUGCCAUUGCUACUGUGUUUUGUGUGCUUAUUUGGGGCAAAUGUGCUAGGGAAUAUCCAAAUUCAGGCUGAUUGAGCUAAUAGACUCUGAAAGUGAUUUCCAUCUACCAUCAAUAUCUCAGUCUAUAACAAGUCCAGCAUAAAUAACUUUCCUCUUUAUUUCCCCCAUCUGGCUAGAAUUUGGAACUUCAGUAUUCGGAAUUAUCUUAUAUUUUUCUCCCAACAUACUGGCUUUAACCUUUAUGACAGGGAGAAGACUUGGUAUGUGAUAGUGGCAUGCCAUAUGCAAUUGUAAGGUGUGCUUUAACUGAGGACCCUGCUGGAGCAGAUCUCAUUCUCGAUCGGGAAGACAGUGUAACAGUAUGGCACUAAAAUGGAAGAUUAACAUAUAUUUUUUUUUGUUUAUGUUCAUUUAGAUAUGGCACAAAAUUUUAUAGGAUAAUAUUAGGUGGUAGAGCUGAAUAUUCUUGGUUGUCAUGGAGUUGCAUUCUGGAAGUCAUUGAGGUCGAAUGAUUGGCGUAGCCUCUGUUAACUUCAAUCAUUUUCAUGAUAUACAGGGUAAAAUAUCAAGAGAAGAGAUUUCUUAGAUUUCUCCUGCUGCUACGGAAGGCCCAUAUGCAUGUGAAGACAUUCAAGGUUAUACGUGUGAUCCCAUUUAGCGUGAUCCCAUUUAGCGAACCAUUUACACCUGAAAACCCACCUCUAGAGAAGGAUUACAAUGAAUAUCAUAAAGCUUUGGAAGAUUGUAUUGCAGGGGAAGAAUACUAAAAACGCAGUCCAGUUCCAGUCUAGUGCCCACAGACAGAAGAUGUGAUCAGGCAUGGAAAUGGCAAGGUUGAUGGAACAGAUGCUUCAGAUGGUUCAGGUGCAGCCUCAGGCUUUAUACCCUUGUUUAGAAGGCCAAUGGUACUUACUUUUCCAACAAACAAUGCUGUGUUCUGUGAGCAUAUUAUUUUGGAAGCAAAUGCAAGUGACAAAGGUAAAAACAAACGAAAAUCAGAAAAAGACACGACACAGAGCAUCUCUGAUUCAAGCAAUUGUAUGGGAGCAGCUCCAGGCCUAUCAAGGUUUCGAUUCCACUGUUGAAUUCCAUAUGCAGAAAAGAAAAAGCUACAGUAACUUUUUGAAGCUAAACGAGAAAGAGAGGAAAGAAAGGGACAAAGGGUACUCAAAACUUUAUCACUCCACCUGAUCAAUGUUUCCCAGAAGAAUCUUUUCUUUCUCCAAAUGUAAUAAAGAUCCUUCUAUUGCAUGGAUUUAUAUACCCAUUGCAUGCAGGAGCUGUGAUUUUGGAGUUUCUAGCUACUAUUAUUUCUCAACCUGGAUUUGCACGUGAUGUCCACGUGAGUAGUGGCUCCUUUAAGACUGUCUACCGUCCAGUUCGUGCUCAGACUCCGAUCAAAGCCACUUUGGUCCCACUCAAAACCGAAUAGAAUUGAAUGGAAUAAUUAUAUUUUAAUUAAACAAUGUUAAUUUAGUCUAAAAUGCUGUGAAAUUUUCUUUUUAACCAUUUUAUUUACCCAUAUUAUUUUAUCAUACUGUUUUUCAAGGGAA